RNAcentral lists this ribosomal RNA (406 nucleotides) under uncultured bacterium. Its description in RNAcentral is "partial 16S ribosomal RNA". It matches the Rfam family "Bacterial small subunit ribosomal RNA", at positions 29 to 526 of the family's 1533-position model. The record is from RNAcentral.
AUUGAACGCUGGCGGCAGGCCUAACACAUGCAAGUCGAACGAGUGGCGGACGGGUGAGUAAUGUCUGGGAAACUGCCUGAUGGAGGGGGAUAACUACUGGAAACGGUAGCUAUUACCGCAUACCAUCGGAUGUGCCCAGAUGGGAUUAGCUAGUAGGGGGGGUAAAGGCUCACAUAGGCGACGAUCCCUCGCUGGUCUGAGAGGAUGACGAGCCACACUGGAACUGAGACACGGUCCAGACUGCUACGGGAGGCAGCAGUGGGGAAUAUGGGACAAUGGGCGCAAGCCUGAUGCAGCCAUGGCGCGUGUAUGAAGAAGGCCUUCGGGUUGUAAAGUACUUUCAGCGGGGAGGCGUUACCCGCAGAAGAAGCACCGGCUAACUACGUGCCAGCAGCCGCGGUAAUAC